Molecule: long non-coding RNA, 3763 nt
Filed under: Equus asinus (donkey)
Lineage: Eukaryota; Metazoa; Chordata; Mammalia; Perissodactyla; Equidae
Description: lncRNA (ENSEASG00005034741.1)
Source: RNAcentral
UGAAAUAAAAAUUUCAGAGACUUCCCUAGAAGGAUUUUCCUUGAUCUUAUUCACUGAACAUCACAGAACUCUUGGAAAACAUCAAGUAUUAAAUAUUCCUUAUGAACGAUGUCUUCUUUUUUACACAUUUAGAGAAGCCCAAAUGAUGGACAUUUAAAAUAGACAUAUUGUGAAUAUCAGGAUCGGCUUGCUUCCAGACGUUUCCAAAACUUGCAGUGCGCUGUAAUAUCCCUGGGACUGGCAGAUGUCUUCCUGUCUCUGAUCUUUUCCCAUCAAUUCAAUUCAGAGAACAAAAAAGAGGAGCUGGCAGAAGAAAGAUUGGCAAUUGCCAGCUUUGCAGAUGCUCCGAUCUCUCUUUGACACAUAGGAACUCCUCAAAAAGACAUAGGGUGAUAAGCACGAAAGACCUCUGAGAUCUUGAGAAUAAACUGUGUACAAAUGGAAUGCAUAUCCAUGGACUGGAUGAGAUCCCUAGGGAGCGAAGGCCAGAUGCCCUGCCGUGAGCUCAGACAGCAUGCCAGCUUUACUUUGUGACCUGGAUUUCACAUCGAGUGUUAUUCACAACAAAUGACAUUAAGGUCAUACAAGAGAAAACAGUCAGCCUUCUCGGUUUUAGCUGGAGACAGAGUUUGUCUGCAAAUCCACAAUGACACAAUGGAAUCACCAGUAGAAGAGACAUCUCAGCUGGCUUGGCUGACUGGAAGUUACUCAGAAGGGAUUUGCUGGUUGGAGAGUCAGCCACAGCUGUAUCAUCUUGAUAUCAGUCAAAUGAAUGGCACUGUGGUUAUUGCUUCCAAUAACUAUUACCUCUUCACUAACAACUCCACUGACCUCGUUUCCUGUUCACUUAACCUCCUUACCAGAAAACGUGCUUGAUAUUUGGUUAUAACAUAACUUUGGAUGUUCAGACUUAGAUAUACAUAAAUUCAUAAUAUUCUGUUCUAUAAAGUUUCAUUAGAAUUGUUAUAAUUAUUGGAUAUCAUUCCAUUCCCAACAUUCAUAUUAUUAAAUAGUUUGAAUGCAUUUAAUCUAUUUUUGUUUACUUUAUCUUAAACAUGUUUGUUUAUCGCUUUUUUCUUUUUGGUGAGGAAGAUGGGCCAUGAGCUAACAUCUGUUCCAAUCUUCCUCUGUUUUGUAUGUGGAAUGCUGCCACAGCUGGCUUGAUGAGCAGUGUGAAGGUCUGCUCCUGGGAUCUGAACCUGUGAACCCUGGGCAGACAAAGCAGACUGUAUGAACUUAACCAGUAUGUCACUGGGCUGGUCCUGUUUAUAGAAUUUUUUUUCAUCUGAGGUUGUAAGCAUAGUACCGUAAGGAUAAUCACAUGCAUGUUUAGAAGACUCUAUAUUUUACAAAAAACUCUCACAUAUAUUAGCUCCUGGGGGGAGGAACAGUUCUAGUACAAAUCCAUGUGCAUUAAGAGAUUUGAAUGAGUUCAUUACCAAGGUCCCUUGAUCUGUUUAAAGAUGAGUGAUUACAAUAUGCUUUGAUGAUAGUGAUUAUGAGGCCUUUUUGAACAUUGUCACUAUGCUAAGGGAUGUGAAAAAUGUAUCCCUGAUGAGACACAUUCCUGAAAAUAAUUUUUUUCUGUAACAGGGUAGUGUAUACCCCACCUGUCCAGUCAUCCUGGAAGGCAGAGGCUACAGAGCACUGUUGGCCUGGCAGGUUGUGGCUUGGGAGUUCUGGGCAGAUGCCAUGACAGCUUGCUUCUUAUCCUGGACAUGACUGAAACCAAAGGACCACCUAUUAAGUACAUUCCAGGGAAAUGUCAGACAAGUUAUAAGACAAACUCUCCAUGCUUGGUGGCCAAGUCUAUUGGAGUUACUAGAAGAAUGAUUGCUAACACAGACUCAAAUGAAGUAGAGGCCAGGGUGAGAGGAAUUUGGAGGUGGGUAGAGAGUCUGGGGGCAAUUUCAGUGUGAGAAUUCAGAUGAUCAUGGUGGCAUUUUAUCCAGUACUGGUAGCCUCUGCUUUGGACUCUCCAGGAACAUCAAAAGCCGUAAUUCUCAGCCUGGCUUCACAUUAGAAACAUGAGUUGUUUUUGCAAAUAUAUGUAUGCCUGGGCUCCACCUCCUGAGACUCCAGUUCAAUUGGUUUAGGGUUGGCCUAAGCAUGGGUAAUUUUGAAAGUUCCUCAGGAGCCUUGAUCAGUUGAGAACCACUGAUUAAAAAGAAUAUUGUUUAACACACAGUACUUAUCAAUUCUGUCUGUUGUUUCAUAAACUCACAGAUAUUUUGGAUGGCUUCUUAUGGAAGGUGAGUAAUGAAUAAAGCCAAUGUUCUCUGCUGAAUUGACACACCAUGAGGUAAGUGCAGGGCAGCGAAGAUAUCUCGCUUUGGUCCAUUUAGUAUCAAUCACUUCUGAUGUGAUGAGUUCUUAGGAUGUGAACUCCUUAGGGACAGGAAUUGUGUCAGGCAGAAUCAAGGUAGGGAACAGAUGAUGCACUCAAAUUGGGUACUUUGAGAAAAGUUUAAUAUUUACAGGUCUUACAUUCAAGUCUUUAAUCCAUUUUGAGUUAUUUUUGUGUAUGGUGUAAGAUAAUGGUCUACUUUUAUCCUUUUGCAUGUGACUGUCCAGUUUUUCCAAAACUAUUUAUUGAACAGAAUUUCCUUUCUCUAUUGUAUAUUUUUGGCUCAUUUGUUAAAAAUUAGCUGUUCACAGGUGUGGGGGUUUAUAUCUAGGUUCUCAAUUCUGUUCCAUUGAUCUAUGUGUCUGUUUUUCUGCCAGUAACAUGCUUUUUUGAUUACUAUAGCUUUGCACACCUUGAUUUUUGGAGGUGAAGAUGAUGCAGUCUAAACAGAGGUUGAAAUGUGAUCACCUAAAAUUUAUACAAUGUUAUAAACCAAUGUGACUUCAAUAAAAUAAAUUUUUAAAAAAGAAAUAAAUACAUAUUUACAAACAUGUUAGGAAGGUAUAUGGAAACCCUAAGGAAUAAUUACUACCAUGGGAGACUUUAGCAUUCCUGGGCUUAAAGGAGAAAAGGGAAGCAGCAGUUACUGGAAACCAGCCAGGAAAGGGCUAUGACUCUCAGCUGAAGGAGGCACUUAGCCCUCACCCACCCCAAAGAGAUGGAGCCAGGGAAAUAAAUUCCAUAAACACAUUUUCUCCCUCUUUCCAAACUACUACUAUGCUCCCCUUUGGUCAAACACAACCAGAAUCCAGAAGGCAAGAAAACCCAUUGAUAGCGUCCAUGUAGGUCUACCUCAUACGGCAUAGAUGAGGGAGCAUGUAGGGAAGGGAGGAGAGUGAAUCUGGGAGGGCAAGCAGAAGAUAGCCACACAGAGACCAAGAACAUUUUCAUCUAUGAGAUCUCUUCCUCCCAACCUGCAGUGUCUGGUGUAUAUAAUACGCUCAGUAAGAAUUGUGUGAAUUACUAGAAUUAAAGACAAAUUAGGUUACAAGAGAAAAAGUAACAUUUAUCGAGUAUUUUCCAUGUGUCAGGUGUCCUGUUUAGUUUUACUGCAUCUCACAAGUACUUGUGGGAUGAGUUGUUAUUAUUGCAUUUUACAGUUGAGAAAAUGGGAAGUCAGAGAGGUUGAGUAGCUUAAUGCAAGGGCACAUGACCAGUAAGUAGUGGAGCAGGAAUUCCAGCCCAGGCCUGGCUGACUUUGAAUCCAAGCUCUUUCCCUAACACUGUCUAGCCCUUUACUCUAAACAGAAGGACAGGUCAUAACUAGAGGAAAUUUUGAGUGAUCUCUCUGUAAUGAGGCAGAUACAAAGCCUGACCCAACUCACUUUGUUAGGUUCCAGGGAUCCAGAAGUUCCA